UAUGUAUAUGUUAAUUUACUUAGGAAAAUUAAGAAAGGUUGAUUGUAUUUCGGUAACUGCAAGUACUGUUUUCUUUUUUCAAUAAAAAUAUUUUCAAAAAAAAAAAAAAAAAAAAAAAAAAAAAAAAAAAAAAAAAGAAAUGGAAGGAGUAUGGCACAAGUAUAAACCUACCAAGACAAGGCCGUCCACCUAAACUCACAGGCCGAACAAGGAGAGCGCUGAUCAGAAAUGCAGCCAAGAGGCCCAUGGUGACUCUGGACGAGCUGCAGAGAUCUACAGCUCAGAUGGGGGAAUUUGACCAUAGGACAACUAUUAGUCACGCACUGCACAAAGUUGGCCUUUAUGGAAGAGUGGCAAGAAGAAAGCAGUUAACAGAAAACCAUAAGAAGUCCCGUUUGCAGUUUGCCACAAGCCAUGCGGGGGACCCAGCAAACAUGUGGAAGAAGGUGCUCUGGUCAGAUGAGACCAAAAUGGAACUUUUUGGCCAAAAUGCAAAACGCUAUGUGUGGCGGGAAACUAACACUGCACAUCACUCUGAACACACCAUCCCCACUGUCAAAUAUGGUGGUGGCAGCAUCAUGCUCUGGGGGUGCUUCUCUUCAGCAGGGACAGGGAAGCUGGUCAGAGUUGAUGGGAAGAUGGAUUGAGCCAAAUACAGGGCAAUCUUGGAAGAAAACCUCUUGGAGUCUGCAAAAGACUUGAGUACGGUGUACAUUUUAGGACAUCGUCAGGUCUCAAGAAAAAAGUUGUCAGGUAUCAGACAAAAAAUUGUCAGGUCUCAGUUCUCAAAAAAAAAGUUGUCAGGUAUCAGACAAAAAAUUGUCAGGUCUCAGUUCUCAAAAAAAAAUUGUCAGGUCUCAGACAAAAAAUUGUCAGGUCUCAGUUCUCAAAAAAAAGUUGUCAGGUAUCAGACAAAAAAUUGUCAGGUCUCAGUUCUCAAGAAAAAAGUUGUCAGGUAUCAGACAAAAAAUUGUCAGGUCUCAGUUCUCAAGAAAAAAGUUGUCAGGUCUCAGACAAAAAAUUGUCAGGUCUCAGUUCUCAAAAAAAAAGCUGUCAGGUAUCAGACAAAAAAUUGUCAGGUCUCAGUUCUCAAAAAAAAUUGUCAGGUAUCAGACAAAAAAUUGUCAGGUCUCAGUUCUCAAAAAAAAUUGUCAGGUAUCAGACAAAAAAUUGUCAGGUCUCAGUUCUCAAGAAAAAAGUUGUCAGGUAUCAGACAAAAAAUUGUCAGGUCUCAGUUCUCAAGAAAAAAGUUGUCAGGUAUCAGACAAAAAAUUGUCAGGUCUCAGUUCUCAAAAAAAAAAAGUUGUCAGGUCUCAGUUCUCAAGAAAAAAGUUGUCAGGUAUCAGACAAAAAAUGUCAGGUCUCAGUUCUCAAGAAAAAAGUUGUCAGGUAUCAGACAAAAAAAUGUCAGGUCUCAGUUCUCAAGAAAAAAGUUGUCAGGUAUCAGACAAAAAAAUGUCAGGUCUCAGUUCUCAAAAAAAAAAUUGUCAGGUAUCAGACAAAAAAUUGUCAGGUCUCAGUUCUCAAGAAAAAAGUUGUCAGGUAGAACACAAGGUACCAUACAGAGAGAAAAUCUUCCUGCAGGUGGCGGUGUUGUCAUGUCCCACCCAAUGACACGACAGCUCCCCAAAAAUGAAGCCAAAACGUCUCUAUCGCCCCCUGGUGUCUGGCUGCAGUAUAUACGUCAUAAACCCCACCUCCUCCACAUUAGCGGAUGGGACUGGGGUCAGACUAAAAUAAAGUUAUUCUCCUCAGAUAAUUUUUUUCCAAAGAUUCUUUCUUUUGUUAUCAAUAGUUCUCAUCACACUGAUUGAUGUUCAAGGGGUCUCCUCUCCCAUAAGUUUGAUUCUAAUUCCUACCGCGGUGAUGUUAAAUUGGGGUGAAACGUCAUCAUAACAGCUUUGACUGGCAGCUGCAGUUACGGAGAAACUUGCGUAUCUCUGUUCGGGAAUAGCAGAUAGAACGUAGGCUCUGAGAGGAGGGCCAGCGUUUACGCUACGAAAACACGACCAAGUGUUUUAACCUGACAGCCUGAGGUGUUCUUCAGUAAACUGGACUACCCGACAGAAGGACCCGAGGCCCUGCUGCACUUUUUCGGUAAGUUAAACGUGUUUGUCAGCUAAUCCGUAACUACCGUCCUUAGCUCGGUCCUGAGACCUAGCUAGCUAAGAUGAGGACUCGGCUGUCAGGGUUCGUUUAGCUAAUCUGUGCAGGUGAAUGAAUUUACACCGACUAAAGAAAUCAAGAGAAACGCUCCGGGCUACUCAGUCACUAAUUACUGUUACUGUACUUUUAUUACAAGUAUUAUACUGUAAAAUCAACAGGCUGCAUCCUGCUUCAGCUCCUGUGCAGAGCUGAUUAUUAAAUAUGUGCAAACAACAGCAUGUUUUCAGUCUCUUGCCACAUCUGUAAAGACAACUUUAAAAAAAAAAAAAAGAAGCUUGUACCUUGUAGCUCUUCAUUAAUCAGGAACUAUGGAUUAAAGUACUGUAGUGUACUGUAAUACUGAAAAAAAUGUAAGAGAACAACUUCAGAUCCUGAGUGUGUGAGGACCGAAGAAUCAGCUUUAUUUCAAUUUUGAGGGAUAAAAUUUAUAUUUGAGUUGGAUGGUUCUGUUCUCUUUGUGAUUACAGGAGCUGCCCUCAGAUUCAGACCUCAGCACCACCCCGUGACAGCAGACAGAUCAUCCAACAUGUUCACAUGUUAACUGCAAAAUGAACUGAUGAAAACAAUACAAAGGUUAAAGUACCACAUGUGCUGUAGUGAAAGCUGCAGCUGUUUUAUUGAUAAAGUUAAAGACAAAAAAACAAAAGGAUUAAUCACCCAUGUAACUGUGUCACUAUAUAUCAGCAUUAACAGGACCUCAGUUUUUAUCUCAGACCUGCACAGCUUCCGUUUUAAACACUUGAUGUACUCAGCUGUAUAAAGAGCACGUUUGAGUUUCUCUAGCACAAUUAAAUAAAACCUGAUGAAGGUCAAAGGUCACAGUUUUCUGCAGAUAGUGUGUUAUUUACCAUAAAGUGAUUCAGAGUUAUUCAUACCAGAGUAACCAGAGAGGAUCAUAUCUUUUUAAAUAUAUAACUUUCUACAGGACUGAAUAUAAUAUCUUUAUGUAAAAGUCCGGAGCCUCUGGGGAGUAUCCGAGUAUUUAUAACAUUACACAAACCAAAGGUCUCCAUCACAGUGUUCAUGAAAUGCUGGGUUUAUCCAUCUUCUGGGGCGGGCCUACGGAGGAGUGCUGAAGAUUUCCCUGUGAGGGAGCUGCUGGUGAAGAUCAUGAGUCCUGCUUGAUCAAUGCGAUGAGCUUCAGUGUUCCUGGUGUUUCUUAAAUGAUGCCUCUUUCAGUGGGUCAACAGAACUUCUGGCACAGGACAGCUGUGAUGAAAGAAAGGGAAGAAGUUUCUCCAAACCUCUGGACCCAGGAAACCCAGCUUGGUCCUGAUGGUCUCCCUCACUAGUUUCUCUCCAGGGUGAAGAGAUUUAAACAGUUUUAGAUCCAUUACACUCACAGUCUUAAAUGUUAAAAUCUCAAAGGACAGCAUUAUAUUUUUGAUAUUAACAGUAACUCUGGGCUUCUGUGGAGUGUGUAGCCGAUCUCAUCGCUGUCUAAAAAUGGAUUUUAAAAAAAACAUAAGAAGUGCUGAAUCCUUCAACAACACAGACUAUUAGAGUAGCAGCUGUCUGUGUGAAGCACUUGCUGCAGGGUUGCGCCAUGAAUGUAUUCAGCUGCCAAGAAAAAGCAGGACUCAGUGCGGGCAACUGCCAUGAGUCUGACGAUGUUGGGGUGAGACAGUCUCCUAAUAAAACAGAAACAUCUCCGAAUAAAAAACAAAAAAAUCACGUUUCAACACUGUCGCUAGCUAGAAUGAAUUAGCCAUACAAAAAUAGUACUGAUUUGAUUUCGUACAAAACUAGCUUUCCUUCUGAUAUGUAACUUUCACAACAUAACCGCAACUUAAUAUAAUACAACUGUGGCAAAAAUAUGAACAAAAGUUAAACUUACCUUGUGUCGUUAGGAG
Molecule: long non-coding RNA, 4019 nt
Organism: Astatotilapia calliptera (eastern happy)
Lineage: Eukaryota; Metazoa; Chordata; Actinopteri; Cichliformes; Cichlidae
Source: Ensembl